GGAAGAUCCAAGCGUUAUCCGGAAUUACUGGGCGUAAAGAGUUGCGUAGGUGGCAAAGUAAGCAGACAGUGAAAGCGUGUGGCUCAACCAUACACACAUUGCCUGAACUGCUUAGCUAGAGAGCGAGAGAGGUAGUUGGAAUUCCCUGUGUAGGAGUGAAAUCCGUAGAUAUAGGGAGGAACACCGAUGGCGUAGGCAGACUACUGGCUCGUCUCUGACACUAAGGCACGAAAGCGUGGGGAGCAAACGGGAUUAGAUACCCCGGUAGUUCACGCCGUAAACUAUGGAUGCUAGCUGUUAGCCGUAUCGACCCGGCUAGUAGCGAAGCUAACGCGUUAAGCAUCCCGCCUGUGGAGUACGGUCGCAAGACUA
RNAcentral lists this ribosomal RNA (372 nucleotides) under uncultured bacterium. RNAcentral's name for it is "bacterial SSU rRNA". It matches the Rfam family "Bacterial small subunit ribosomal RNA", at positions 527 to 896 of the family's 1533-position model. The record is from RNAcentral.